UACGUAGGGCGCAAGCGUUAUCCGGAAUUAUUGGGCGUAAAGAGCUCGUAGGCGGUUUAUCGCGUCUGCCGUGAAAGUCCGGGGCUCAACUCCGGAUCUGCGGUGGGUACGGGCAGACUAGAGUGAUGUAGGGGAGACUGGAAUUCCUGGUGUAGCGGUGAAAUGCGCAGAUAUCAGGAGGAACACCGAUGGCGAAGGCAGGUCUCUGGGCAUUAACUGACGCUGAGACGCGAAAGCGUGGGGAGCGAACAGG
Molecule: ribosomal RNA, 253 nt
Filed under: uncultured bacterium
Lineage: Bacteria
Description: partial 16S ribosomal RNA
Rfam family: Bacterial small subunit ribosomal RNA
Source: RNAcentral